RNAcentral lists this ribosomal RNA (492 nucleotides) under uncultured bacterium. Its description in RNAcentral is "partial 16S ribosomal RNA". It matches the Rfam family "Bacterial small subunit ribosomal RNA", at positions 29 to 507 of the family's 1533-position model. The record is from RNAcentral.
AGUGAACGCUGGCGGUAGGCCUAACACAUGCAAGUCGAACGGUGGCACAGUAAGUGCUUGCUCUAUCGGGUGGCGAGUGGCGGAUGGGUGAGGAAUACCCUGGACUUUACUUUUUCGUGGGCGUUAGCGAAGGGAAAUAUACGUUAAUACUGCUUCCGACCUCCGGGUGAAAGCAGGGGAGCUUUGGACUUUGUGCGGAUGAAUGCGCGGCUGUGGGAUUUGCUGGUUGGCGGGGUACAGGCCAACCCAGGCGACGAUCCGUAGCUUGUCUGAGUGGGUGAACAGCGACACUGGAACUGAGCCACGAUCCAGAGACCUACGGGAGGCAGCAGUGGGGAAUAGUGGACAAUGGGGGCAAUCCUGAUCCAGCCAUACCGCGUGGGUGAAGAAGGCCUUCGGGUUGUAAAGCCGUUUUGGUGGGAAAGAAAAGCAGCAGCUUAAAACCCGGCUGUUCUGACGGUACCCAAAGAAGAAGCACCGGCUAACUUCGUG